This is a non-coding RNA of Cucurbita pepo subsp. pepo (vegetable marrow), 176 nucleotides long. NCBI's taxonomy places the organism in Eukaryota, Viridiplantae, Streptophyta, Magnoliopsida, Cucurbitales, Cucurbitaceae. The record is from RefSeq and is a predicted model, not a curated record.
CUCAACCCAAAGGCAGAGAUCCGAGAGUCGUCCGAGAACCGGACCUAAUUUAGAGAAAUCAGUAUUUUUGGACACCUCACGGGCAAAGAAACGCUAGCGAAAGGGCACGCAUCAACCAAGAGCGCGAGGCGUCGGUCAAGAGUGGGCGUGAUCAGAAGGGAAGUGUCACAGAGGAA